AUUGAACGCUGGCGGCGUGCCUAACACAUGCAAGUCGAUCGGUAACAGGUGUAGCAAUACAUGCUGACGAGAGGCGGACGGGUGAGUAAUGCUUGGGAAUCUGCCUAUUAGUGGGGGACAACCCGGGGAAACUCGGGCUAAUACCGCAUACGCUCUACGGAGGAAAGCCGGGGACCGCAAGGCCUGGCGCUAAUAGAUGAGCCCAAGUCGGAUUAGCUAGUUGGUAGGGAACGGCCUACCAAGGCGACAAUCCGUAGCUGGUCUGAGAGGACGACCAGCCACACCGGAACUGAGACACGGUCCGGACUCCUACGGGAGGCAGCAGUGGGGAAUAUUGGACAAUGGGGCAACCCUGAUCCAGCGACGCCGCGUGGGUGAAGAGGGCCUGCGGGUUGUAAAGCCCUUUCGGUGGGGAAGAAAAGUCUCGACCUAAUACGUCGGGACCUUGACGUAACCACUAAAGAAGCACCGGCUAACUCUGUGCCAGCAGCCGCCGUAAC
Molecule: ribosomal RNA, 500 nt
Filed under: uncultured bacterium
Lineage: Bacteria
Description: bacterial SSU rRNA
Rfam family: Bacterial small subunit ribosomal RNA
Source: RNAcentral